UAGGCUGCAAGCCGAACGAGAGCUCUAGCUNGCUAGAGUGGAUAGUGGCGAAAGGGUGAGUAACGCGUGAAUAAUNUGCCCCCAAGNNGGGAAUAGCCUCGGGAAACUGGGAUUAAUACCGAAUGUGGUCUUCAGUCGAUNGACUGAAAUACUAAAGAUUUAUCGCUUGGGGAUAAGNUCGCGUUCCAUUAGCUUGUUGGUAGGGUAACGGCCUACCAAGGCAACGAUGGAUAGCUGGUCUGAGAGGAUGAUCAGCCACACUGGGACUGAGACACUGCCCAGACUCCUACGGGAGGCUGCAGUCGAGAAUCUUCCGCAAUGGGCGAAAGCCUGACGGAGCAAUGCCGCGUGCAGGAUGAAGGCCCUUGGGCCGUAAACUGCUGUCACCAGGGAAGAACAUAAUGACGGUACCUGGAGAGGAAGCACCGGCUAAAUACGUGCCAGCAGCCGCGGUAAUACGUAUGGUGCAAGCGUUGUUCGGAUUUAUUGGGCGUAAAGGGUCCGCAGGGGGUCUUUUAAGUCAGAUGUGAAAUCUCACGGCUCAACCGUGAAACUGCAUUUGAAACUGAAAGACUAGAGUAC
This 582-nucleotide ribosomal RNA is filed under the name uncultured bacterium. RNAcentral describes it as "bacterial SSU rRNA". It matches the Rfam family "Bacterial small subunit ribosomal RNA", at positions 50 to 649 of the family's 1533-position model. The record is from RNAcentral.